UACAGAGGGUGCGAGCGUUAAUCGGAAUAACUGGGCGUAAAGGGCGCGUAGGCGGUUUAUCAGGUUGGAUGUGAAAGACCCGGGCUUAACCUGGGAAUGGCAUCUAAGACGGAUAGGCUAGAGUGAAGUAGAGGUAAGCGGAAUUUCCGGAGUAGCGGUGAAAUGCGUAGAGAUCGGAAGGAACAUCGGUGGCGAAGGCGGCUUACUGGACUUAGACUGACGCUGAGGCGCGAGAGCGUGGGGAUCAAACAGG
This 253-nucleotide ribosomal RNA is filed under the name uncultured bacterium. RNAcentral's name for it is "partial 16S ribosomal RNA". It matches the Rfam family "Bacterial small subunit ribosomal RNA", at positions 524 to 776 of the family's 1533-position model. The record is from RNAcentral.